CUUAUCAUAUCGAAAAGAUAAUGAAACAAUUCAAGAAAGAAAAAUAAAUAAUUUGUAACUUUAAACAUAAUAUAGGAACCAAAUACCUACAAAAAUUAAUUAAUGAUAGAACAAUCAUCUUCAUAGCCUCCGCAAGUACGCAAGUUGGUCAUUAAAAUAAUCAAAUUCAUUAUAGCACUCAAGUAAUUUGUAAACUAAUAUUGUAUCAAUUAUCAAUAUUGUUAUUUUUGUACGGUUUUUAUUUACGAACACAAAUCUUUGUAACUAAUUUAAAUUUUGUUUAAAUUUAAUUUUUAAAUUUGUUUUUUUUAGAAUCGACAACGCAAAUCGAAUAAUAUUAUAGUGUAAUAUAUUGAAUAUUUAAUAUUUGUAUAAUAAAUUAUAUAAUACAGCAAUAUACAAUAUAUAAAAUAA
Non-coding RNA from Cinara cedri, 414 nucleotides. The record is from the annotation of a GenBank genome assembly. NCBI's taxonomy places the organism in Eukaryota, Metazoa, Arthropoda, Insecta, Hemiptera, Aphididae.